This is a non-coding RNA of Punica granatum (pomegranate), 220 nucleotides long. The record is from Rfam. NCBI's taxonomy places the organism in Eukaryota, Viridiplantae, Streptophyta, Magnoliopsida, Myrtales, Lythraceae.
AUGGCCUUACUUGAACAUGAUCUAUUCUAUAGGUUUGUGCCUCUGUGUCCUUGAGUUCUAAGGAUACAGGAACCAACGUCCGGUGGAUGAAGCAUGGCCGUGCGACCAAAGCGUGAGUAGAGGCUUCGUCAGCCUCCCGGGGUCUCCGGUUGCAGCGAAGGAUCGUUCUUAGCUCCCAUAAUUGGGGUUCUGGGGUGGUUGCACGACGUUCUGACAAAAA